ACCGGCUGGGAACAGAGCAGCCCUUCUCCUCGCAGUAGUGAGU
Molecule: non-coding RNA, 43 nt
Filed under: Prorocentrum minimum
Lineage: Eukaryota; Dinophyceae; Prorocentrales; Prorocentraceae
Source: RNAcentral